RNAcentral lists this ribosomal RNA (483 nucleotides) under Charidotella zona. RNAcentral's name for it is "partial 12S small subunit ribosomal RNA". Lineage: Eukaryota; Metazoa; Arthropoda; Insecta; Coleoptera; Chrysomelidae. The record is from RNAcentral.
ACUAAUUGUGCAAUUAAUUUUAUUUGGUUGUGAUUAAAUAUUUGUUUUAUUCAAUUAAAAUUUUUAGGUGAAAUUUAAAUUUGAAAAUUAAAUUUAAUAAAUUGAGGUCAAUAAAUUUAUUAUUAAACUAGGAUUAGAUACCCUAUUAUUGUAAACAUAAUUAAAAUUCUUUAUGAAUAAUAGUUAAUUUCUUAAAAGUAAAAAGAAUUGGCGGUAUUUUAAUCCUUUUAGAGGAACCUGUUUUUUAAUUGAUAAUCCACGCUUAAAUUUACUUACUAUAUGUGUUUACAUAUCGUUGUUUAAAAUAUACUUAUAGGAUAUAUUUAAUAGUUAUUUAAUUAAUUAAUUCAGAUCAAGGUGUAGCUUUAGUAAGGAAAAAUGGGUUACAUUAAUUUUAAUUAUGAAUUUGAAUUUAAAAAUUUAAUGAAUUUGGAUUUAAAAGUAAAUAUAAAACUAUUUUUAUAUUGAUUUAGGUUCUAAAAU